GACGAACGCUGGCGGCGUGCUUAACACAUGCAAGUCGAACGGAAAGGCCCUGCUUUUGUGGGGUGCUCGAGUGGCGAACGGGUGAGUAACACGUGAGUAACCUGCCCUUGACUUUGGGAUAACUUCAGGAAACUGGGGCUAAUACCGGAUAUGAGCUCCUGCUGCAUGGUGGGGGUUGGAAAGUUUCGGCGGUUGGGGUUGGACUCGCGGCUUAUCAGCUUGUUGGUGGGGUAGUGGCUUACCAAGGCUUUGACGGGUAGCCGGCCUGAGAGGGUGACAGGCCACAUUGGGACUGAGAUACGGCCAAGACUCCUACGGGAGGCAGCAGUGGGGAAUAUUGCACAAUGGGCGGAAGCCUGAUGCAGCAACGACGCGUGCGGGAUGACGGACUUCGGGUUGUAAACCGCUUUCGCCUGUGACGAAGCGUGAGUGACGGUAAUGGGUAAAGAAGCACCGGCUAACUACGUG
This 468-nucleotide ribosomal RNA is filed under the name uncultured bacterium. RNAcentral's name for it is "partial 16S ribosomal RNA". It matches the Rfam family "Bacterial small subunit ribosomal RNA", at positions 28 to 507 of the family's 1533-position model. The record is from RNAcentral.